This 586-nucleotide long non-coding RNA is filed under the name Homo sapiens (human). RNAcentral describes it as "HSALNT0302729". Lineage: Eukaryota; Metazoa; Chordata; Mammalia; Primates; Hominidae. The record is from RNAcentral.
AGGGGUCACAGACAUUCAGAUCAUGGCAGAACUGUCACAGAUGUUACUUUGUGAAAACACAAAGAAUAAUGUGUUUGGAGAGAUCAGUCUUCAAUUAGCUAUAUUUUCUAGGAGCCUACCUUUACUUAGCCUCACAACAUGGGCCUUAGCUUUAGCACUUAAUCUGCACAAAUACCUGGCUUAAGUGUUAUGACUGACUGGCUAUUCAACCAAACCAUACAAAUGACCAAUUCGGUAAGAAAGCAUGAACUUCAGUGUUGAACCAAAUCAACCAACCUCCUCAAUCCAAAUGGCUUGCAGAGCUCAAACCAUUACACCAUUCAGAAGCUGGCUUUGGUAUUACUUCAAGUUAUUCAAAACAGUCACCACUUGCUGAGCCUCUGAUGUCUCAUCUGUUGAAUGGAUUUCAAGAGAGAAGGCUGAAAAGGAAGGUGACUGGAAUAUUAAGAACUGUGAGAUAUUCUGAGGAAACUCUAAUUUGUAAAUUGGUAGAAAUGCCAGUAAUUUGUUGGGAAUUGAAGACCCUCUGUAUUCAAGAGCGAAGCUUGGCAGCUGUGCACUGUUGUUUUAUAAAUCAAUAUUACAU